CCUACGGGUGGCAGCAGUGAGGAAUAUUGGUCAAUGGACGAGAGUCUGAACCAGCCAAGUAGCGUGAAGGAUGACUGCCCUAUGGGUUGUAAACUUCUUUUAUAAAGGAAUAAAACGAGGCACGUGUGCCUUUUUGCAUGUACUUUAUGAAUAAGGAUCGGCUAACUCCGUGCCAGCAGCCGCGGUAAUACGGAGGUUCCGAGCGUUAUCCGGAUUUAUUGGGUUUAAAGGGAGCGUAGAUGGGUUGUUAAGUCAGUUGUGAAAGUUUGCGGCUCAACCGUGAAAUUGCAAUUGAUACUGGCAGUCGUGAGUACAGUUGAGGUAAGCGGAAUUCGUGGUGUAGCGGUGAAAUGCUUAGAUAUCACGAAGAACCCCGAUUGCGAAGGCAGCUUACUAAACUGUUACUGACAUUGAUGCUCGAAGGUGUGGGUAUCAAACAGGAUUAGAUACCCUUGUAGUC
Molecule: ribosomal RNA, 460 nt
Filed under: uncultured bacterium
Lineage: Bacteria
Description: partial 16S ribosomal RNA
Rfam family: Bacterial small subunit ribosomal RNA
Source: RNAcentral